UGAGAUUGUUGGAGAGGUUCA
This 21-nucleotide microRNA is filed under the name Picea abies (Norway spruce). RNAcentral describes it as "pab-miR11534". Lineage: Eukaryota; Viridiplantae; Streptophyta; Pinopsida; Pinales; Pinaceae. The record is from miRBase by way of RNAcentral.